Molecule: ribosomal RNA, 261 nt
Filed under: uncultured bacterium
Lineage: Bacteria
Description: partial 16S ribosomal RNA
Rfam family: Bacterial small subunit ribosomal RNA
Source: RNAcentral
UAUUCGUAUGUGGUUUCCUAGUGGCGAACGGGUGAGUAACGCGUUGGUGACCUGCCCCGAAGAGGGGAAUAACAACUUGAAAGAGUUGCUAAUACCCCAUAAUAUCAUUAGGGUUAGAGGCCUUAUGAUUAAAGGAGUAAUCCGCUUCGGGAGGGGCCUGCGUCCCAUCAGCUAGUUGGUAGGGUAAUGGCCUACCAAGGCGACGACGGGUAGGGGGCCUGAGAGGGUGGCCCCCCACAAUGGUACUGAAACACGGACCAU